ACGGGAGGCAGCAGUGGGGAAUAUUGGACAAUGGGGGAAACCCUGAUCCAGCGACGCCGCGUGAGUGAAGAAGUAUUUCGGUAUGUAAAGCUCUAUCAGCAAGGAAGAAAAUGACGGUACUUGACUAAGAAGCCCCGGCUAACUACGUGCCAGCAGCCGCGGUAAUACGUAGGGGGCAAGCGUUAUCCGGAUUUACUGGGUGUAAAGGGAGCGUAGACGGCAUAGCAAGUCUGAAGUGAAAUGCAUGGGCUCAACCCAUGAACUGCUUUGGAAACUGUUAAGCUAGAGUGCGGGAGAGGUAAGUGGAAUUCCUAGUGUAGCGGUGAAAUGCGUAGAUAUUAGGAGGAACACCAGUGGCGAAGGCGGCUUACUGGACUGUAACUGACGUUGAGGCUCGAAAGCGUGGGGAGCAAACAGGAUUAGAUACCCUGGUA
This 434-nucleotide ribosomal RNA is filed under the name uncultured Lachnospiraceae bacterium. Its description in RNAcentral is "bacterial SSU rRNA". It matches the Rfam family "Bacterial small subunit ribosomal RNA", at positions 341 to 792 of the family's 1533-position model. Lineage: Bacteria; Bacillati; Bacillota; Clostridia; Lachnospirales; Lachnospiraceae. The record is from RNAcentral.